AUGGAUGCCUGCGGCUCUGCCUUCCUGCACCUCCACACGCCGCCCGCACACGCCAUCAACCACUCCUGGUGCCUCCAGGUUGCUCUCCCCGUCCAUCACGAGCUCAAUCCACCUGCUGACCCGUCGGCCUUGUUGCCCCUCUUGGCGCUGUCAAGACCCGGCAACCAGGGAGGCCAAGAAUGUCUUCGUGGAUUCGACAAGUACCUACACCGGCAAGACUACAUGGACGUUCAUUCCACUACAUCAGUGAAACGUCAAGGUCGACUAUGUUUUGUUGCCCCGUCCGGAAUCGUCAAGUACCUGAAGACCACAAGGACGCCAAGUACCAGGACGACGAGGACCGCCAAGUUUGUCUUCCGCCGUCUCCGAAAUCGUCAAGUACCACUAUGA
RNAcentral lists this ribosomal RNA (390 nucleotides) under Triticum aestivum (bread wheat). RNAcentral describes it as "partial small subunit ribosomal RNA". Lineage: Eukaryota; Viridiplantae; Streptophyta; Magnoliopsida; Poales; Poaceae. The record is from RNAcentral.